Molecule: ribosomal RNA, 393 nt
Filed under: uncultured bacterium
Lineage: Bacteria
Description: partial 16S ribosomal RNA
Rfam family: Bacterial small subunit ribosomal RNA
Source: RNAcentral
AUACGGAGGACGCGAGCGUUAUCCGGAUUCAUUGGGUUUAAAGGGUGCGCAGGCGGCCGUGCAAGUCAGCGGUGAAAGCCCGGGGCUCAACCCCGGAAGUGCCGUUGAUACUGCAUGGCUGGAAUGCGGUCGAGGCGGGGGGAAAGGGGGGUGUAGGGGGGAAAAGCGUAGAUAUGCCAGAGAACGGCUAUAGCGGAGGCAGCUCGCCAGGCCUGCAUUGACGCUCGGGCACGAAAGCGUGGGGAUCGAACAGGAUUAGAUACCCUGGUAGUCCACGCCGUAAACGAUGGGCGCUCGUCGUCGGCGGCAGACAGUCGGCGGCCAAGCGAAAGCGAUAAGCGCCCCACCUGGGGAGUACGGUCGCAAGGCUGAAACUCAAAUGAAUUGACGGGG